CCCGGUGCGCCCAGCGGAGCGGAGCGGAGCGCGCGGAGGGAGGAGUUUUCCCAGAAUGGGACUGACGGGAAAACACGGGGAUCCCUAUUCCUGGAGGAAUCCAGCCUGGUGCCUGGGAUAGGGAAGUGCAUGAUAAAUGCUGCAUAAAUGAAAAACAAUUGCUACCGUGGAAGAUAUUGAAAGGAAAGUGCUAUCGAUGCCAAAGUUGUUUCCAAGAGAGGUAUUCCAAAAGUGUUUCAAGCAAUGACUGAGCUAAGCAUCCAGUCCUGCAAGGUGAAGGCGUUGAAGACGCAGCCCUCAUUUGAAUAGAUGAAUUGUGGUAUUCUUGUUAAAUAAUGAAUCAUAUCAAGGCUUGGUCACACCUCAUGCACAUGAAAAGACCAAAACGCAAGGCAGCAUAUCAGCGCCACGUGAAGUACACACUAAGCACCAACUAUUUAAUUCAGCAAUCAUGGGGGGCCCGGUGGCUCACGCCUGUCAUCUUAGCAAUUUGGGAGGCCGAGGCAGGUGGAUCGCUUGAGCCCAGGAGUUCGAGAUCAGCCUGGGCAUCAUGGUGGCCUGCACCUGUAGUCCCAGCUACUCAGGAGGCUGAGGUGGGAGGAUAGUUUGACCCCAGAAAGUUGAGGCUGCAGUGAGCCGUGAAUGCACCACUACACACCAGCCUGGAUGACAGAGCGAAACCCUGUCUCAAAGUAAUUAAUAAUAAUUAUAUUAAUUCAGCAAUCAUUGGAGUGUUUGUUGACUUUGACACCGCACUAAGGGAAGGAGUAGGUCCCUUUCCUCAAGUAGUUCCAGUCUAGGUGAGAAGACAGACAAUUAUGCAAAGUUCAAUGGGAACCCAAGGGAAGGAACAGUGAAAUCCAAUUACAGUGCAUUUGAUCUAGCUCUUGAGGAUAAAUGAGGGUUUGCCAAACUGAGACUGGAAACCCCAUUUAAGACACAUGGAAUAGCACCUACAAAGGUGAGGCAGCCAGUCUGCUGGUGUGUUUAGCGAAGCUAUGUAAACUGGUGUGGCUGGAGAAUAGAGAUGUGGAUAAUAAGAUUGAAGGAAGUGGAUACCAGACUUUGAAGGUCAUUGCGUGCCAUGCUGAAGAGUUAGGCAUCAAAAAAGACACAAGUGUGACUUAAUCAGCAGCACCAUCAAGAAGACCGUCUUGCAACAGUCUUGCAGUUGAACUGGAGACUCGGGGUGCCCUAAAACUCAAGCAGUGGUCCUGAG
RNAcentral lists this long non-coding RNA (1219 nucleotides) under Homo sapiens (human). Its description in RNAcentral is "PREDICTED lncRNA (TCONS_00059454)". Lineage: Eukaryota; Metazoa; Chordata; Mammalia; Primates; Hominidae. The record is from RNAcentral.